CCUACGGGAGGCAGCAGUGAGGAAUAUUGGGCAAUGGACGCAAGUCUGAACCAGCCAUGCCGCGUGCAGGAAGACGGCUCUCUGAGUUGUAAACUGCUUUUGUACGAGGGUAAACGCAGAUACUCGUAGCUGUCUGAAAGUAUCGUACGAAUAAGGAUCGGCUAACUCCGUGCCAGCAGCCGCGGUAAUAAGGAGGAUUCAAGCGGUAUCCGGGUUUAUUGGGUUUAAAGGGAGCGUAGGCGGUCUGAUAAGUGAGAUGUGAAAUCCCGGGGCUCAACGUCGGAAUUGCCUUUGAUACUGUUUGGCUAGAGUGUAGUAGCGGUAGGCGGAAUGCAUGGUGUAGCGGUGAAAUGCGUAGAGAUCAUGCAGAACACCGAUUGCGAAGGCAGCUUACCAAGCUACUUCUGACGUUGAGGCACGAAAGUGUGGGGAGCAAACAGGAUUAGAUACCCUUGUAGUC
This 460-nucleotide ribosomal RNA is filed under the name uncultured bacterium. RNAcentral describes it as "partial 16S ribosomal RNA". It matches the Rfam family "Bacterial small subunit ribosomal RNA", at positions 338 to 795 of the family's 1533-position model. The record is from RNAcentral.